Molecule: long non-coding RNA, 931 nt
Organism: Neopelma chrysocephalum (saffron-crested tyrant-manakin)
Lineage: Eukaryota; Metazoa; Chordata; Aves; Passeriformes; Pipridae
Exons: 3
Source: RefSeq, a predicted model, not a curated record
UAGUGGGUUAAUUAUUCCUGCUGAAGACACACUUGCAAAGACACCAGCUGAAGCCUGGUAACAGCCAGCCCUGCUUCCUGUAUAUUUACCAAAGAUCAGUGGGAACAAACCAGUAAAAAUUGAUAUCUGGGAAAUAAAUGGCAGGAGUGCCAGGUGCCCUGUGUGGCCACAGCACCCUCAGCUCCUCUCCCACAGGACCCCUAGGUCCCUUGCGAGGGCACACACCUGGCAGUUGCACAACGCUUCUGUCCACAGAAUGGUUGUGUCCAGCUCCGUGGGACCCGCCAGACAGUUUCCACAAGGGCAUGUCCUCACAAUGAGAUGCUGGACCAUCCCAGAGUUGUGGCUGCGUGAGAACAGGGGGAAAGGUGGCUUAUUUCCCGGGGGAGGGAGCUGUGGCUCACAUGAGCCCCCGUGCACACAUCCAGGGACGAGGGAGCAGGAGGGUGAGCAGGGACAUUCCCCUGCGGUCACCGAGCCCAGGACACCAGGAAGGGGACAGAGAUGGUGGUGGUGGUGGAGCUGGCCAAGAAGGCCUUGUAGUGAGAGGGGAGGAAGAGUGAAGAAGCACAAGAUUUUCAAAGGCAGAUCUGACCAUGCAGCAAUCACAAGCUGUGCAAACAACUCACCCUUUGGAGGUCAAGAGCAGAGUAUGACACCUGUGAGUAAAUAGUGGAUCCAGGACCUGGGAGGGCACCUCUUCCCUGCCAGCUGGUGACAGAGGAAUUAGUUUCCUGGUCCCUGGUCAAGAUGUUCUCAUCAAGAUAAAAUCAGAGGGGAAUGGCUCCUCCCAUCCUCACUGCCUGGACAGCCGGGGCUGCCACAGCCUUGAGGCACUGCUGGACCCUGGCUCUCAAACCACCUUGUCCUUUCCAGUAAUUACUAUUUUGCAAUGUGAAAACAAUAAAAGUCUUGGGUCUGUUAAGAGGUC